This 655-nucleotide ribosomal RNA is filed under the name uncultured bacterium. RNAcentral describes it as "bacterial SSU rRNA". It matches the Rfam family "Bacterial small subunit ribosomal RNA", at positions 380 to 1022 of the family's 1533-position model. The record is from RNAcentral.
AGCCUACGACGCAUGCCGCGUGGAGGAUGAAGAUCUUCGGGUCGUAAACUCCUUUCGAUCGAGACGAACGGCCUCCAGGUGAACAAUCUGGAGGAGUGACGGUACCGAGAGGAAGAAGCCCCGGCUAACUCCGUGCCAGCAGCCGCGGUAAUACGGGGGGGGCAAGCGUUGUUCGGAAUUACUGGGCGUAAAGGGCUCGUAGGCGGCCGACUAAGUCAGACGUGAAAUCCCUCGGCUUAACCGGGGAAUGGCGUCUGAUACUGGAUGGCUUGAGGUUGGGAGAGGGAUGUGGAAUUCCAGGUGUAGCGGUGAAACUGCGUAGAUAUCUGGAGGAACACCGGUGGCGAAGGCGGCAUCCUGGACCAAAUCUGACGCUGAGGGAGCGAAAGCCAGGGNGAGCAAACGGGAUUAUGAUACCCUGGUAGUCCACGCCGUAAACGAUGAGAACUAGACGUCGCGAGGGGUCUGCUCUUCGGUGUCAGCAGCUAACGCGAUAAGUUCUCCGCCUGGGGAGUACGGCCGCAAGGUUGAAACUCAAAGGAAUUGACGGGGGCCCGCACAAGCGGUGGAGCAUGUGGUUUAAUUCGAUGCAACGCGAAGAACCUUACCUGGUCUUGACAUCCUCGGAACUUGCAGAGACUGUGAGGGGUGCCUU